This is a long non-coding RNA of Hyaena hyaena (striped hyena), 342 nucleotides long. RefSeq lists it as uncharacterized. Lineage: Eukaryota; Metazoa; Chordata; Mammalia; Carnivora; Hyaenidae. The record is from RefSeq and is a predicted model, not a curated record. The transcript has 3 exons.
GCACAUGUACUGAAACUGCUGGGGGGAAGAAAACCACACACAGAUAACUGGGAGACCACUGUACUGCUGAGGAGACUUACUAAUCAGGGUUUCCUAAAGAGAAAAUACAUUCAUCAUGUCACUAUUGAGUCUUGUGGUCUGUGUGGCAAGAAUGUUUUAUUGCGAAGAAACACAUUAACAUCCUGCUUGUACAUCAGACUCAUGAAUUUGGUUAAUAAUAUAUGAAUGGAUCUACACAAGGCUGAGAAGAGGUGCAUGCAUCACAGCAAACGUAUCUAUGAUUCUUCUUGGAGGAAGAAGACAAAUUGGAUACUGAAAUAAAAUACAGCAUAUGAUUUAGGG